Molecule: ribosomal RNA, 494 nt
Filed under: uncultured bacterium
Lineage: Bacteria
Description: partial 16S ribosomal RNA
Rfam family: Bacterial small subunit ribosomal RNA
Source: RNAcentral
AUUGAACGCUGGCGGCAUGCUUUACACAUGCAAGUCGAACGGCAGCGGGGAGGAGCUUGCUUCUCUGCCGGCGAGUGGCGAACGGGUGAGUAAUACAUCGGAACGUGUCGAGAAGAGGGGGAUACCCACCCGAAAGGGUGGCUAAUACCGCAUAAAUUCUGAGGAAGAAAGCUGGGGACCUAGGAAUAGGCCUAGCGCUUUUUGAGCGGCCGAUGUCGGAUUAGCUAGUUGGUGAGGUAAAGGCUCACCAAGGCGAAGAUCUGUAGCGGGUCUGAGAGGAUGAUCCGCCACACUGGGACUGAGACACGGCCCAGACUCCUACGGGAGGCAGCAGUGGGGAAUUUUGGACAAUGGGGGCAACCCUGAUCCAGCCAUGCCGCGUGUAUGAAGAAGGCCUUAGGGUUGUAAAGUACUUUUGUUAGGGAAGAAAAGUCAGCUGUGAAUAAUGGCUGGUACUGACGGUACCUAAAGAAUAAGCACCGGCUAACUACGUG